CCUACGGGUGGCAGCAGUAGGGAAUAUUGCGCAAUGGACGGAAGUCUGACGCAGCGACGCCGCGUGAGCGAUGAAGGUCUUCGGAUCGUAAAGCUCUGUCCUUGGGGAAGAAGGUCUUCGGACUUGACGGUACCCAAGAAGAAAGCCCCGGCUAACUACGUGCCAGCAGCCGCGGUAAGACGUAGGGGGCGAGCGUUGUCCGGAAUUACUGGGCGUAAAGAGCACGUAGGCGGAUAUUUAAGUCAGGUGUGAAAGACCGCAGCUCAACUGCGGGGUUGCACUUGAAACUGGAUAUCUUGAGGGCAGGAGAGGUCAGUAGAAUUCCUGGUGUAGCGGUGAAAUGCGUAGAAAUCAGGAGGAAUACCAGUGGCGAAGGCGGCUGACUGGACUGACCCUGACGCUGAGGUGCGAAAGCGUGGGGAGCAAACAGGAUUAGAUACCCCUGUAGUCA
This 451-nucleotide ribosomal RNA is filed under the name uncultured bacterium. RNAcentral describes it as "bacterial SSU rRNA". It matches the Rfam family "Bacterial small subunit ribosomal RNA", at positions 338 to 796 of the family's 1533-position model. The record is from RNAcentral.